This 497-nucleotide ribosomal RNA is filed under the name uncultured bacterium. Its description in RNAcentral is "partial 16S ribosomal RNA". It matches the Rfam family "Bacterial small subunit ribosomal RNA", at positions 28 to 507 of the family's 1533-position model. The record is from RNAcentral.
GAUGAACGCUGGCGGCGUGCCUAAUACAUGCAAGUCGAGCGAACAGAUGAGGAGCUUGCUCCUCUGGCGUUAGCGGCGGACGGGUGAGUAACACGUGGAUAACCUACCUAUAAGACUGGGAUAACUUCGGGAAACCGGAGCUAAUACCGGAUAAUAUAUUGAACCGCAUGGUUCAAUAGUGAAAGACGGUGUUGCUGUCACUUAUAGAUGGAUCCGCGCGGCAUUGGCUAGUUGUUAAGGUGACGGCUUACCAAGGCAACGAUGCGUAGCCGACCUGAGGGAGUGAUCGGCCACACUGGAACUGAGACACGGUCCAGACUCCUACGGGAGGCAGCAGUAGGGAAUCGGAGGCAGUGGGCGAAAGCAUGACGGAGCAACGCCGAGUGAGUGAUAGAGGUCUUCGGAUCGUAAAACUCUGUUAUUAGGGAAGAACAACUGUGUAAGUAACUAUGCACGUCUUGACGGUACCUAAUCAGAAAGCCACGGCUAACUACGUG